This 245-nucleotide ribosomal RNA is filed under the name uncultured bacterium. RNAcentral's name for it is "partial small subunit ribosomal RNA". It matches the Rfam family "Bacterial small subunit ribosomal RNA", at positions 26 to 285 of the family's 1533-position model. The record is from RNAcentral.
AGAAUCAACGCUGGCGGCGUGCCUAACACAUGCAAGUCGCACGAGAAAGGGACUUCGGUCCUGAGUACAGUGGCGCACGGGUGAGUAACACGUGAAUAAUCUACCUCCGAGUGGGGAAUAACUGAGAGAAAUCUUAGCUAAUACCGCAUAACACUUACGAGUCAAGGCAGCAAUGCGCUUGGAGAGGAGUUCGCGGCAGAUUAGUUAGUUGGCGGGGUAAUGGCCCACCAAGACGAUGAUCUGUA